RNAcentral lists this ribosomal RNA (468 nucleotides) under uncultured bacterium. Its description in RNAcentral is "partial 16S ribosomal RNA". It matches the Rfam family "Bacterial small subunit ribosomal RNA", at positions 28 to 507 of the family's 1533-position model. The record is from RNAcentral.
GACGAACGCUGGCGGCGUGCUUAACACAUGCAAGUCGAACGGAAAGGCCCUGCUUUUGUGGGGUGCUCGAGUGGCGAACGGGUGAGUAACACGUGAGUAACCUGCCCUUGACUUUGGGAUAACUUCAGGAAACUGGGGCUAAUACCGGAUAGGAGCUCCUGCUGCAUGGUGGGGGUUGGAAAGUUUCGGCGGUUGGGGAUGGACUCGCGGCUUAUCAGCUUGUUGGUGGGGUAGUGGCUUACCAAGGCUUUGACGGGUUCCUGGCCUGAGAGGGUGACCGGCCACAUUGGGACUGACAUACGGCCCAGACUCCUACGGGAGGCAGCAGUGAGGAAUAUUGCACAAUGGGCGGAAGCCUGAUGCAGCAACGCCGCGUGCGGGAUGACGGCCUUCGGGUUGUAAACCGCUUUCGCCUGUGACGAAGCGUGAGUGACGGUAAUGGGUAAAGAAGCACCGGCUAACUACGUG